AACGCUGGCGGCGUGCGUAACACAUGCAAGUCGAACGAGAAUGUACUGACAGAUCCUUAGGGUGAAGAUAGUACAGGACAGUGGCGGAUGGGUGAGUAACGCGUAAGAAACCUGCCUUUCACACCGGGAUAGCAGCUGGAAACGGCUAUUAAUACCGGAUGACACUUUUUCCCCGCAUGAGGAAGAGGUUAAAGAAUUUCGGUGAAAGAUGGUCUUGCGUCUGAUUAGCUAGUUGGUGGGGUAACGGCCUACCAAGGCGACGAUCAGUAGCCGGCCUGAGAGGGUGUACGGCCACAUUGGGACUGAGACACGGCCCAAACUCCUACGGGAGGCAGCAGUGGGGAAUUUUGCACAAUGGAGGAAACUCUGAUGCAGCGACGCCGCGUGAACGAAGAAGGUCUUCGGAUUGUAAAGUUCUGUCCUGGGUGAAGAUAAUGACGGUAACUCCGGAGGAAGCCCCGGCUAACUACGUGCCAGCCGCCGCGGUAA
Molecule: ribosomal RNA, 489 nt
Filed under: uncultured Eubacteriales bacterium
Lineage: Bacteria; Bacillati; Bacillota; Clostridia; Eubacteriales
Description: bacterial SSU rRNA
Rfam family: Bacterial small subunit ribosomal RNA
Source: RNAcentral